Long non-coding RNA from Vicia villosa (hairy vetch), 960 nucleotides. RefSeq lists it as uncharacterized. The record is from RefSeq and is a predicted model, not a curated record. NCBI's taxonomy places the organism in Eukaryota, Viridiplantae, Streptophyta, Magnoliopsida, Fabales, Fabaceae. The transcript is spliced from 2 exons.
GAAUUUGGGAAUUAGGGUUGUGUGUCGAUUAGCCUUCUCUCGCUCAGACUCUCUCCCUCGUACCCUAACUUACGCCGGAACUCACUCCGCCGCAUCGGAGACGGCGGAGCCCGACCGAAAGCAGUGAUCGAAGCUUCUACCUUCACCUAUUUCUCCUCCUUCUCUCAUCUAUGACCUCAAUUUUCUCAUAACCUCGCUUUAUUUCCCUAAUCUGAAUAGAUCGUAAACCCUAAAUCCGAAGGCAAAACCAAUUGAAUGCUAAUAGUUACAAAUCCUAGAUCAAGAUCAUGGGGGAAAAGCUCAAGGAUGCUCAUACCACACCACAACAUCAAGAACGGAAAGAAAUAUGGAGGUAGAGGAGGUAGUUCGAAGACGUACCUGGAUUGAAGAGUUGUACGAGAUGAAGAGAACACCGAGGAUCCUUGGCGAAGUACACGCGGUUGAUGAAGACGAUAACUUCUUCAGGUAUACCGCUUGAAUGGGUGAGAAGUUUAGCCUUUGAAAAUGCAGAAUGCAUGGAGCUUAAGACACUGCUUUUUUUGUUUUCUUUUUGAAUAGCUGCAGAGUUAUGGUGAAUUUCUUAUAGCCAAACAAAGCUCAUGGAAGUAAAAAAUCUAAAGCUUGUUCAAUGGAGCUAAGGGACUAGGAUUGAUUUAAAUAUAUAUGGUAUUUGGAUAGGGCAUAUUGUAUGAAGAUGAUGUAUUGAAUUGGGUGAUUUUGAAUGGUUCUGAAUUGUGUGCACACAGGGCUGGAGGAUUGGAAAAUAUUGGUGGAUGCUUGUAUGAUAUGGGGCUGGUUUUGGAAUGAAACCAUGUAAUUAUUUCUAGGCAAUCUUGUUGUAAUGAAAAUGAUGAAUUUUGUAAUGAGACACUUUUUUAUGGUGAGCUUGGACAGAAUUCGUAUGCUCUGAAUUUGCCAUGCUGACCAAAUUUUUUCUCAAUUCAUUUUCCAUCGAGAUUC